Molecule: ribosomal RNA, 985 nt
Filed under: Bacillus sp. (in: firmicutes)
Lineage: Bacteria; Bacillati; Bacillota; Bacilli; Caryophanales; Bacillaceae
Description: bacterial SSU rRNA
Rfam family: Bacterial small subunit ribosomal RNA
Source: RNAcentral
CCCCCUGGGCGCCUAUCUGCAAGUCGAGCGAAUGAUGAGGAGCUUGCUCCUCUGAUUUAGCGGCGGACGGGUGAGUAACACGUGGGUAAUCUGCCUGUAAGACGGGGAUAACUCCGGGAAACCGGGGCUAAUACCGGAUAAUAAGAGAAGAAGCAUUUCUUCUUUUUGAAAGUCGGUUUCGGCUGACACUUACAGAUGAGCCCGCGGCGCAUUAGCUAGUUGGUGAGGUAACGGCUCACCAAGGCGACGAUGCGUAGCCGACCUGAGAGGGUGAUCGGCCACACUGGGACUGAGACACGGCCCAGACUCCUACGGGAGGCAGCAGUAGGGAAUCUUCGGCAAUGGGCGAAAGCCUGACCGAGCAACGCCGCGUGAGCGAUGAAGGCCUUCGGGUCGUAAAGCUCUGUUGUUAGAGAAGAACAAGUACGAGAGUAACUGCUCGUACCUUGACGGUACCUAACCAGAAAGCCACGGCUAACUACGUGCCAGCAGCCGCGGUAAUACGUAGGUGGCAAGCGUUAUCCGGAAUUAUUGGGCGUAAAGCGCGCGCAGGCGGUCUCUUAAGUCUGAUGUGAAAGCCCACGGCUCAACCGUGGAGGGUCAUUGGAAACUGGGAGACUUGAGUGCAGGAGAGAAAAGUGGAAUUCCACGUGUAGCGGUGAAAUGCGUAGAGAUGUGGAGGAACACCAGUGGCGAAGGCGGCUUUUUGGCCUGUAACUGACGCUGAGGCGCGAAAGCGUGGGGAGCAAACAGGAUUAGAUACCCUGGUAGUCCACGCCGUAAACGAUGAGUGCUAGGUGUUGGGGGGUUCCACCCUCAGUGCUGAAGUUAACACAUUAAGCACUCCGCCUGGGGAGUACGACCGCAAGGUUGAAACUCAAAGGAAUUGACGGGGGCCCGCACAAGCAGUGGAGCAUGUGGUUUAAUUCGAAGCAACGCGAAGAACCUUACCAGGUCUUGACAUCCUUUGACCACUCUAGAGAUA